GGCGGCGGGUGAGUAAUGCUUAGGAAUCUGCCUAUUAGUGGGGGACAACAUCUCGAAAGGGAUGCUAAUACCGCAUACGUCCUACGGGAGAAAGCAGGGGACCUUCGGGCCCUUGCGCUAAUAGAUGAGCCUAAGUCGGAUUAGCUAGUUGGUGGGGUAAAGGCCUACCAAGGCGACGAUCUGUAGCGGGUCUGAGAGGAUGAUCCGCCACACUGGGACUGAGACACGGCCCAGACUCCUACGGGAGGCAGCAGUGGGGAAUAUUGGACAAUGGGGGGAACCCUGAUCCAGCCAUGCCGCGUGUGUGAAGAAGGCCUUUUGGUUGUAAAGCACUUUAAGCGAGGAGGAGGCUACCGAGAUUAAUACUCUUGGAUAGUGGACGUUACUCGCAGAAUAAGCACCGGCUAACUCUGUGCCAGCAGCCGCGGUAAUACAGAGGGUGCAAGCGUUAAUCGGAUUUACUGGGCGUAAAGCGCGCGUAGGUGGCCAAUUAAGUCAAAUGUGAAAUCCCCGAGCUUAACUUGGGAAUUGCAUUCGAUACUGGUUGGCUAGAGUAUGGGAGAGGAUGGUAGAAUUCCAGGUGUAGCGGUGAAAUGCGUAGAGAUCUGGAGGAAUACCGAUGGCGAAGGCAGCCAUCUGGCCUAAUACUGACACUGAGGUGCGAAAGCAUGGGGAGCAAACAGGAUUAGAUACCCUGGUAGUCCAUGCCGUAAACGAUGUCUUCUAGCCGUUGGGGCCUUUGGGGCUUUAGUGGCGCAGCUAACGCGAUAAGUAGACC
This 778-nucleotide ribosomal RNA is filed under the name uncultured Acinetobacter sp. Its description in RNAcentral is "bacterial SSU rRNA". It matches the Rfam family "Bacterial small subunit ribosomal RNA", at positions 97 to 870 of the family's 1533-position model. Lineage: Bacteria; Pseudomonadati; Pseudomonadota; Gammaproteobacteria; Moraxellales; Moraxellaceae. The record is from RNAcentral.